Molecule: ribosomal RNA, 252 nt
Filed under: uncultured bacterium
Lineage: Bacteria
Description: partial 16S ribosomal RNA
Rfam family: Bacterial small subunit ribosomal RNA
Source: RNAcentral
UACGUAGGGAGCAAGCGUUGUCCGGAAUUACUGGGUGUAAAGGGAGCGUAGGCGGGAUGGCAAGUUGGGUGUUAAAUCUACCGGCUCAACUGGUAGUCGCACUCAAAACUGCUAUUCUUGAGUGAAGUAGAGGCAGGCGGAAUUCCUAGUGUAGCGGUGAAAUGCGUAGAUAUUAGGAGGAACACCAGUGGCGAAGGCGGCCUGCUGGGCUUUUACUGACGCUGAGGCUCGAAAGUGUGGGGAGCAAACAGG